UAGCUGGUUCCCUCCGAA
This 18-nucleotide non-coding RNA is filed under the name Arabidopsis thaliana (thale cress). The record is from RNAcentral. Lineage: Eukaryota; Viridiplantae; Streptophyta; Magnoliopsida; Brassicales; Brassicaceae. RNAcentral also lists the same sequence under 2 other names.